This is a long non-coding RNA of Coturnix japonica (Japanese quail), 239 nucleotides long. RefSeq lists it as uncharacterized. NCBI's taxonomy places the organism in Eukaryota, Metazoa, Chordata, Aves, Galliformes, Phasianidae. The record is from RefSeq and is a predicted model, not a curated record.
UGCUCCCAUAGGACAGGCUGAGGGUUGGGGCUGUGCAGAUGGAGUGUCUUUAAGAUCCAGGAGUGUCCGUGAGGUUCUUCAGCUCCUGCUGCCAACACAAGCCCAGCUCUGCUCCGUCGCAAAGCUUUGCCCUCUCUGUUCCUUGAGCGCGUGCCAAGAGGAGAGUCCUAUUUGUCUUUAGAAACAUUUAAAAGCAGAAGAGGAAGCAAUUAACCAAUAAAUCAUCCGUCUGUUUCCAA